Molecule: ribosomal RNA, 478 nt
Filed under: uncultured bacterium
Lineage: Bacteria
Description: partial 16S ribosomal RNA
Rfam family: Bacterial small subunit ribosomal RNA
Source: RNAcentral
GACGAACGCUGGCGGCGUGCUUAACACAUGCAAGUCGAACGGUAAGGCCCUUCGGGGUACACGAGUGGCGAACGGGUGAGUAACACGUGGGUGAUCUGCCCUGCACUUCGGGAUAAGCCUGGGAAACUGGGUCUAAUACCGGAUAGGACCACUGCCCGCAUGGGUGGGGGGGGAAAGCUUUUGCGGUGUGGGAUGGGCUCGCGGCCUGUCGGCCUGUUGGUGGGGUGAUGGCCUACCAAGGCGACGACGGGUAGCCGGCCGGAGAGGGUGACCGGCCACACGGGGACUGAGAUACGGCCCAGACUCCUACGGGAGGCAGCAGUGGGGAAUAUUGCACAAUGGGCGCAAGCCUGAUGCAGCGACGCCGCGUGAGGGAUGACGGCCUUCGGGUUGUAAACCUCUUUCAGCACCGACGAAGCGCAAGUGACGGUAGGUGCAGAAGAAGGACCGGCCAACUACGUGCCAGCAGCCGCGGUAA